CUAACACCGAAUGUGCCCUCCGACCAUAAGGUCGCUGGGGAAAGGAAGCUUCGGCCUCCGCAUCGGGAUGGGCCCGCGGCCCAUUAGCUUGUUGGUGAGGUAACGGCUCACCAAGCAACGAUCGGUAGCUGGUCUGAGAGGACGAUCAGCCACACUGGGACUGAGACACGGCCCAGACUCCUACGGGAGGCAGCAGUGGGGAAUCUUGCGCAAUGCGCGAAAGCGUGACGCAGCAACGCCGCGUGGGGGAAGAAGGCCUUCGGGUUGUAAACCCCUUUCAGUUGGGACGAAGCUCCGCCGGUGAAUAGCCGGCUGGAGUGACGGUACCUUCAGAAGAAGCCCCGGCUAACUACGUGCCAGCAGCCGCGGUAAUACGUAGGGGGCAAGCGUUGUCCGGAAUCAUUGGGCGUAAAGAGCGUGUAGGCGGCUCGGUAAGUCCGCUGUAAAAGUCCAGGGCUCAACCUGGAAAGCCGGUGGAAACUGUCAAGCUAGAGUCCGGAAGAGGCGAGUGGAAUUCCUGGUGUAGCGGUGAAAUGCGCAGAUAUCAGGAGGAACACCAAUGGCGAAGGCAGCUCGCUGGGACGGUACUGACGCUGAGACGCGAAAGCGUGGGGAGCAAACA
RNAcentral lists this ribosomal RNA (622 nucleotides) under uncultured bacterium. RNAcentral's name for it is "bacterial SSU rRNA". It matches the Rfam family "Bacterial small subunit ribosomal RNA", at positions 163 to 774 of the family's 1533-position model. The record is from RNAcentral.